UACGUAGGGAGCAAGCGUUGUCCGGAAUCAUUGGGCGUAAAGCGCGCGUAGGUGGCCCGCUAAGUCCGCUCUGAAAGUCACAGGCUCAACCUGUGAAAGCGCGUGGAUACUGCCGGGCUAGAGUCCGGAAGAGGCGAGUGGAACUCCUGGUGUAGCGGUGGAAUGCGCAGAUAUCAGGAAGAACACCAACGGCGAAGGCAGCUCGCUGGGACGGUACUGACGCUGAGACGCGAAAGCGUGGGGAGCGAACAGG
RNAcentral lists this ribosomal RNA (253 nucleotides) under uncultured bacterium. RNAcentral describes it as "partial 16S ribosomal RNA". It matches the Rfam family "Bacterial small subunit ribosomal RNA", at positions 524 to 776 of the family's 1533-position model. The record is from RNAcentral.